AGCUCAGCACUGGGUGUAAAGCGUGCGCAGGCGGUUUUGUAAGACAGAGGUGAAAUCCCCGGGCUCAACCUGGGAACUGCCCUUGUGACUGCAAGGCUGGAGUGCGGCAGAGGGGGAUGGAAUUCCGCGUGUAGCAGUGAAAUGCGUAGAUAUGCGGAGGAACACCGAUGGCGAAGGCAAUCCCCUGGGCCUGCACUGACGCUCAUGCACGAAAGCGUGGGGAGCAAACA
Molecule: ribosomal RNA, 230 nt
Filed under: uncultured Alicycliphilus sp.
Lineage: Bacteria; Pseudomonadati; Pseudomonadota; Betaproteobacteria; Burkholderiales; Comamonadaceae
Description: partial 16S ribosomal RNA
Rfam family: Bacterial small subunit ribosomal RNA
Source: RNAcentral